UAAUUUUGGGAAAAUCUUACAUGUUUUACAGCGAGGGGUUAGUAUGUUGAUAAAUGAAAUGUUUUUGUAAAACAUUUGUUUUUGUCCACUCACGUUUUCUGUUUUGCGCCCCUCCAGGUUUUAAGUAAGUUAUUGUUGGUGGCUCGGGAUCAUCGGCAGUUCUGACCUAUUUGAAUAAUAGUAGGACAUUCCUGGUAUUGUGUAACUAGUACUUGUCCUACUGGACUGCAUCUAGACUUAUUAUGCUCUGAUUAGGAGUGUUCACUGUUGUAACUAACUCAUAUCACUUUCGUUUAGUAGUGCACUCUAGUAAUUUGGUUUUUAAUUAUUCGUAUAUUUACUAUCUUUAUCGCUUCCGCACUGUGCACAUGGCUACGUCACUCACAUGACGGCUAGCAUGCCUUGACCUCAGUCGGGGUGUGUCAUACUCUUUUGGAUAUUCUAUGUCUAAAACAAUUGAGGUCGGUAGAGUUCAUUUUUGCUCCCAGAGUUUGUAAUAGGGCAACAUAUCUAGUGGCGUCUUUUGCCUUCAGACCUAGGAUAACUUUGAACUAUAGUGGUUGUUCAAUACUCUGGCUUCUGAUGUAAAUGUUUCUAUUCAAAUUUAAUACAAUUUCACUUUCGACAAAAAAAAAAAAAAUCAUUACUUCUCUUAUUUCAUUUUUUGGUGAGAAAAAGUUUAAGGGGAGGGGGCUACCCUAUCCCAAGGUAGGACAUAAAAUAAAGUCUCUUUAAAUUUGGAUUUAAAAAGAUACUGAUAGUUUAAUUAAAAAUGAUAUGGGUGUAGAAAGUAAGUCAGGUGUAGAGAGAGGUUAUAGGGAUUCAAAUAUAGUUUCCCUUACAGAAGGGGUCUUAGUCUUUUUAUUUUUUAUUUUUAUAGGUCGCCCACCAAGAGAGAUUGCCGAUAGUGAGACUCGAACCUAGUCUUUGGUCUAGCGAAGAAAAUCCAUACACCUUCUCUUCUUUUACUAACUAAAUCCUCUCCAUAUAAUUUCAUUAUUUUCUUACAGGGUGUUCUUGUUUAUCUAAACUUUGCUUGUGCAGAACAUUGUUGAACAUCAGAGUGAGUCUAGGCUUCAUUGUAUCCACAAGGCAUAUUUGCAAUUCCCCUUUGCAACUCGCUAUCUUUCAUACUUCUUCCUAGCCAUUACGCACUUAUUUUCCUACACUUAAAAGGUAAAAAUGUGUAUGAAUGAUUACAAGGCCGUUUCUAAAAUUUUGGGAACCUAGUCGAAAAAUUAUAAACGAGCCCUUUUGCUCCAGUACAAUGAAUAAGUCCUAAUUACAUAAUCUCACAAAAGUAUACGGAAAUUGUAAAAAAGUAAUCAUUAUUAGAGUAUCAUACUUAAAAGAAAUUUUAAAGUUAUGUGAUCAAUCAACAAAAUCAUUAGUGAACAUAUAAAAGAAACCAUGAAGCAAAACAAAUGAUGAACAAAUCAAGGUAGAAACUAAAACACUUAUCCAAAUUGCAAAAAACAAUUAUGGUAGACCUGAAUAAAGGCAACUUUUAAUUUUGCGGAACAAAUGAUGCUAAAGCCUUAAUCUCUCUAUCUCUCUCCCUUCUUUCUGCCCAAACAAGAAAUAAAAUAGUCAAAUUCCAUGUAUGAGUCAAAUGUAACCAUGUAUGACUCAAAAUUCGGGGGCCUUUAGAGGUGGGGCCUGUACAAUUGCACAACUGAAAGUUGGGGGGCUCUUUAGAGGUGGUGCCCUGUGCAAUUGCACAAGUUGUUCCGCUCAAAGUCUGCACUGAAUGAUUAAAUAAUUUCAUUGAGAAUGAUGAGUUUUCUCAUUGCAUAUAUACAUUAAUUUACGAACUUAACUUUCAAUUUGUGGAUAUAUGGUCUGAAUCAUGGGAUUUGAGUGUGUCAAUCUUCUACAAGGCCCGACCUCAAGAAGAGAUAGUAGGUGCUCGGAAAAUUUUAACCA
Molecule: long non-coding RNA, 1926 nt
Filed under: Malus domestica (apple)
Lineage: Eukaryota; Viridiplantae; Streptophyta; Magnoliopsida; Rosales; Rosaceae
Description: long non-coding RNA (MDOM_LNC008729)
Source: RNAcentral